This 497-nucleotide ribosomal RNA is filed under the name uncultured bacterium. RNAcentral's name for it is "partial 16S ribosomal RNA". It matches the Rfam family "Bacterial small subunit ribosomal RNA", at positions 28 to 507 of the family's 1533-position model. The record is from RNAcentral.
GAUGAACGCUGGCGGCGUGCCUAAUACAUGCAAGUCGAGCGAACAGACGAGGAGCUUGCUCCUCUGACGUUAGCGGCGGACGGGUGAGUAACACGUGGAUAACCUACCUAUAAGACUGGGAUAACUUCGGGAAACCGGAGCUAAUACCGGAUAAUAUAUUGAACCGCAUGGUUCAAUAGUGACAGACGGUUUUGCUGUCACUUAUAGAUGGAUCCGCGCCGCAUUAGCUAGUUGGUAAGGUAACGGCUUACCAAGGCAACGAUGCGUAGCCGACCUGAGAGGGUGAUCGGCCACACUGGAACUGAGACACGGUCCAGACUCCUACGGGAGGCAGCAGUAGGGAAUCUUCCGCAAUGGGCGAAAGCCUGACGGAGCAACGCCGCGUGAGUGAUGAAGGUCUUCGGAUCGUAAAACUCUGUUAUUAGGGAGGAACAAAUGUGUAAGUAACUAUGCACGUCUUGACGGUACCUAAUCAGAAAGCCACGGCUAACUACGUG